UUAAGUUCAGCGGGUAUUCCUACCUGAUCCGAGGUCAACCUUGGUGCCGCCGGAGCGGGCUUGAGGGGGGUUUAGAGGCCGGAUAGCCCGCAGGCUCCCGAUGCGAGGCAGAUGUUACUACGCAAAGGAAGGGCCCAACGGGUCCGCCACUGGUUUUCGGGGACUGCCUGGGCAGAUCCCCAACGCCGGGCCACGGGGGC
This 200-nucleotide unclassified non-coding RNA is filed under the name Hypocreales sp. RNAcentral's name for it is "partial internal transcribed spacer 2". The record is from RNAcentral. Lineage: Eukaryota; Fungi; Ascomycota; Sordariomycetes; Hypocreales.